This 492-nucleotide ribosomal RNA is filed under the name uncultured bacterium. RNAcentral describes it as "partial 16S ribosomal RNA". It matches the Rfam family "Bacterial small subunit ribosomal RNA", at positions 29 to 507 of the family's 1533-position model. The record is from RNAcentral.
AGUGAACGCUGGCGGUAGGCCUAACACAUGCAAGUCGAACGGCAGCACAGUAAGAGCUUGCUCUUACGGGUGGCGGGUGGCGGACGGGUGAGGAAUACAUCGGAAUCUACUUUUUCGUGGGGGAUAACGUAGGGAAACUUACGCUAAUACCGCAUACGACCUACGGGUGAAAGCAGGGGAUCUUCGGACCUUGCGCGAUUGAAUGAGCCGAUGUCGGAUUAGCUAGUUGGCGGGGUAAAGGCCCACCAAGGCGACGAUCCGUAGCUGGUCUGAGAGGAUGAUCAGCCACACUGGAACUGAGACACGGUCCAGACUCCUACGGGAGGCAGCAGUGGGGAAUAUUGGACAAUGGGCGAAAGCCUGAUCCAGCCAUACCGCGUGGGUGAAGAAGGCCUUCGGGUUGUAAAGUCCUUUUGUUGGGAAAGAAAAGCAGCAGGUUAAUAACCCGCUGUUAUGACGGUACCCAAAGAAUAAGCACCGGCUAACUUCGUG